This is a long non-coding RNA of Carassius auratus (goldfish), 754 nucleotides long. RefSeq lists it as uncharacterized. The transcript has 5 exons. Lineage: Eukaryota; Metazoa; Chordata; Actinopteri; Cypriniformes; Cyprinidae. The record is from RefSeq and is a predicted model, not a curated record.
ACACAGCAAUAUACAAAAAAACAAAGUAUUUUUAACAAACAAAAAGAGAGAAUGCACCUAAUACAUGUGUUUUGUUACAAAAAAAUAGCAUGCAACCUUCAGAGGCCACAUUUAAGGUGCCCCUAUUAUGGAUUUUUGGAAACACAACUUUAAGUGAAUGAAAACAUCCUGCGAAGUUUUAAAUCUGAAAGUGUACGGUGUUUAAAGUUAUCGUUUCUCAAAAGAAAGAGUCGACUCUGAAUCAUUGAACUGAGUCAUUUUUUUUUCCAAAACGAAUCCCAAGCCGUUUCAUGUUGACGUCAACAUUAAACAUUAGGACAUUUGCCCACACACUUGUUGGUCUGAAAGAAAAUUCAUUUUCAUUCAUUGUUUGCCACUAGGUGCCGCUUUUGGAGCGGGAAAAUAACGGUUUCCCUGGUAACGCUGUACACAAAGCAGCACUGCACCUCACAAAUGAAUCGUUUAGGAGUCUUGAGCAAGUAAGGGCACUUUAAGGCAAAUCCAAGAUGGUGGAUGAGGAUUUGUUUGGGGCUGCGUGACCUUGCCAUCACUCCUCCGAGGACUGGCUGGAAUCGAGUCUGGAAGCAUGAUGAACUCCUCUUUAAAAAGAGCAAUCUGUACCAGGCGGAGCCAAUGGUGGAAAGAGGGAAACAUCCUCCCUGGAACUCGGGGCAGGAGAGGAAGAUAUAGGGUCCCAACAAGGCCUCCGAGGUCCCCAGACGUGACAGGCAGGCGUUGAGCUGGUGCCACACUG